Molecule: non-coding RNA, 94 nt
Organism: Annulohypoxylon nitens
Lineage: Eukaryota; Fungi; Ascomycota; Sordariomycetes; Xylariales; Hypoxylaceae
Source: the annotation of a GenBank genome assembly
UCCUCCGUGGCGCAAUUGGCUAGCGCGUCUGACUGUUACUUGUGUCAAACUUGAAGCAAUCAGGAGGUUGACAGUUCAAGCCUGUCCGGGGGAG